UUUGAUCCUGGCUCAGAUUGAACGCUGGCGGCAGGCCUAACACAUGCAAGUCGAACGGCAGCAGCGAGAGUAGCUUGCUCUUUGCCGGGGGCGGACGGGUGAGUAAUGUCUGGGAAACUGCCUGAUGGAGGGGGAUAACUACUGGAAACGGUAGCUAAUACCGCAUAACGUCGCAAGACCAAAGAGGGGGACCUUCGGGCCUCUUGCCAUCAGAUGUGCCCAGAUGGGAUUAGCUAGUAGGUGGGGUAACGGCUCACCUAGGCGACGAUCCCUAGCUGGUCUGAGAGGAUGACCAGCCACACUGGAACUGAGACACGGUCCAGACUCCUACGGGAGGCAGCAGUGGGGAAUAUUGCACAAUGGGCGCAAGCCUGAUGCAGCCAUGCCGCGUGUAUGAAGAAGGCCUUCGGGUUGUAAAGUACUUUCAGCGGGGAGGAAGGUGUUGAGGUUAAUAACCUCAGCAAUUGACGUUACCCGCAGAAGAAGCACCGGCUAACUCCGUGCCAGCAGCCGCGGUAAUACGGAGGGUGCAAGCGUUAAUCGGAAUUACUGGGCGUAAAGCGCACGCAGGCGGUCUGUCAAGUCGGAUGUGAAAUCCCCGGGCUCAACCUGGGAACUGCAUUCGAAACUGGCAGGCUAGAGUCUUGUAGAGGGGGGUAGAAUUCCAGGUGUAGCGGUGAAAUGCGUAGAGAUCUGGAGGAAUACCGGUGGCGAAGGCGGCCCCCUGGACAAAGACUGACGCUCAGGUGCGAAAGCGUGGGGAGCAAACAGGAUUAGAUACCCUGGUAGUCCACGCCGUAAACGAUGUCGACUUGGAGGUUGUGCCCUUGAGGCGUGGCUUCCGGAGCUAACGCGUUAAGUCGACCGCCUGGGGAGUACGGCCGCAAGGUUAAAACUCAAAUGAAUUGACGGGGGCCCGCACAAGCGGUGGAGCAUGUGGUUUAAUUCGAUGCAACGCGAAGAACCUUACCUACUCUUGACAUCCAGAGAACUUUCCAGAGAUGGAUUGGUGCCUUCGGGAACUCUGAGACAGGUGCUGCAUGGCUGUCGUCAGCUCGUGUUGUGAAAUGUUGGGUUAAGUCCCGCAACGAGCGCAACCCUUAUCCUUUGUUGCCAGCGGUCCGGCCGGGAACUCAAAGGAGACUGCCAGUGAUAAACUGGAGGAAGGUGGGGAUGACGUCAAGUCAUCAUGGCCCUUACGAGUAGGGCUACACACGUGCUACAAUGGCGCAUACAAAGAGAAGCGACCUCGCGAGAGCAAGCGGACCUCAUAAAGUGCGUCGUAGUCCGGAUUGGAGUCUGCAACUCGACUCCAUGAAGUCGGAAUCGCUAGUAAUCGUAGAUCAGAAUGCUACGGUGAAUACGUUCCCGGGCCUUGUACACACCGCCCGUCACACCAUGGGAGUGGGUUGCAAAAGAAGUAGGUAGCUUAACCUUCGGGAGGGCGCUUACCACUUUGUGAUUCAUGACUGGGGUGAAGUCGUAACAAGGUAACCGUAAGGGA
This 1504-nucleotide ribosomal RNA is filed under the name Enterobacter cloacae subsp. dissolvens. RNAcentral's name for it is "bacterial SSU rRNA". It matches the Rfam family "Bacterial small subunit ribosomal RNA". Lineage: Bacteria; Pseudomonadati; Pseudomonadota; Gammaproteobacteria; Enterobacterales; Enterobacteriaceae. The record is from RNAcentral.